RNAcentral lists this non-coding RNA (26 nucleotides) under Homo sapiens (human). Lineage: Eukaryota; Metazoa; Chordata; Mammalia; Primates; Hominidae. The record is from RNAcentral.
UCCUGAGAGCAUGUGCCCAUGGUGGU